Long non-coding RNA from Dromaius novaehollandiae (emu), 3404 nucleotides. RefSeq lists it as uncharacterized. The record is from RefSeq and is a predicted model, not a curated record. NCBI's taxonomy places the organism in Eukaryota, Metazoa, Chordata, Aves, Casuariiformes, Dromaiidae. The transcript has 3 exons.
UUUAGCCCAGUGCACAAGGGUCAAAACCAAAAUAAAAGAAAAAAAGUGUUCUCUGUAGCAGGAAUCAACAAAGCAAUCAUCUACUGCAUUUCUAGAACUGACUGGCACCCACUUCUGAGAUGAGGAAAAACAACGUGAAGGAAAGAGUUAGAUCAUCAUCUGAGCAGUAGCAGAUCCUGGUUUGACUGCUGCGAUGCAGCCUUGUUCUUUCCAAGCACUGCCAUUCAGUGGACACACAUUAAAAAAUAAUAUCAUCAGCAACAAAGGCCUGAGAAACUACUUUGCCCUGGGCAGCAGUCAACACUAACAAAUUUGAGGGAUGAACACACCUUUCCCUCAAGUCCACCCAGCCUCCCAUUUUUCUUAGCUGUGUGCUCUUGCCUUGUGUCAUUUUGGCUCCAGAUGGAGGCAGAAACAGGCAGCAAAGGCAGAACUAUCCUCCAAAAAAUGUUUGCAGUGUGACACAGCCACACAGAGAAUAUCCCACAGAAAAUCUCCCAUGAGACUCAUAAGGUACACAUGAAACCGUCCUCAGCAUGUCUCAGCCAUUUGGAGACGUGUCAUCAGAAAUCACAGCUACUGGAAGUCGCUCUACGUGGGCCAGAAAUCAAGUGCCACGGGAGCUUGUACUGCAAGCAGUAUGUCACCCCGGGCUGGAUUGCGCCUCUGUCAGGACUCUUCACAUCAAACACUGAGAUUGUGGCAGCAGCCAAAGGCCGAAAGGCCGGGCCCCCUUACGUUACGUGCUGGUGAACCACUGCCCAAGCCCAGCUGCAGACACCGGGAAUCAUGCUUUCUCUCCAGUAAAUCCAGGCUGUGCCCUCCUCACACCUUUCCAUGGAGCGCAUUGCCUUUCACCGUUGCAUACAAGAUGCAGAGGUUAGUUUUUGUGGCUGCUUUGCUUCAUCCAACUGUGCGAUAUUAUCAGCAGGCUGGACAGCAUUUGUGCAGCUCAGAGUGCUUCAUGUCUGCCUUUUGCAAUAGAAUUAAUCUCAUCAGUCUUAAAUGCUUCUUAGCAUCUCCUGUUCUUUUUCAGCAGAAGAAAUUCAAAGUAUGUUAAAAAAUAGAGCAUUUUUUGGCUCCACCAGGUUUUCUCAGACAAAGAAUUAAACCUAACAUUUAAUUCAAGUGACUCUUCAUUUGAUUUUGGUAACGAUAGAUGCAUGUCGCCUUCAUGUUUUGUUUAUUUGACAAAAGCAUCUAUAUAUAAAUAAACAUAAAAAGUAUUAAAAGGUUAAAAACAGCCUGGUUUGCUCAACAGAAUUCUGAAAUCCUAAAAGAUUCAGCAAAAAUAGAGUGAAGUACUUAGAUCUUCAAAAAGCAUUUAGCCAAGCACUUCAUCAAAGGUUAAAGUGCAGAAACAUGAGUGAAAUAAGUGAAUAAGUGAAAAGCUGGCUUACUGGACUGCAAAUUGGCUGAAGAGAGGACGUGAGUUUCAAGCAGAAAAGAAUUUAUAAGGGGCUGUGAUAGAGAUCAGCAGUAGAUCUUCAGCCUUUCAAUAUUAUAUUAGUGAUGGCACUAAAAGUAUGUUUCUGCUGUCUGCUCCUGAUAGUAAAUUCUGGUUAACAAAUAAACAAUGAACAACACGAUCAGCAAUAGAAAAAAUUAAAUUAUGUAUGCAGUGCAGUACUUAAAAAUAACAAUGUAUAUGAAAGAGAGCAAAAAGUCAAGCAAGAGAUUGCUAUCCAAUAGAAAAGUGUUGAAGAAUAACAAGGAAAAGUCUAUUCCAGAAAAAAAUAUCUAUAGUUAAUUCAACUCAAAGUGCAGCUCCACUGAGUAAGACAAGCUGAAUUCCCUGAGAAUUAGGCUCAGCUCUCAGAAAAGUAUUUGCUAGAUAUACUUGGGGCAUCAGGAACAUUUAAUCGAAGUUAAAUUGAAUUCAGUACUUUGGUAAAGAGUGAAGGUAUGUGUAUAGGUAUGUAUAGGCAUACAUUUACAUGGUAUCAAUUGCAUCCAUGUUCCCAGGCCCUCUCCACUCUCCUGGCAGGGUGUGCUGCCUCGCCAACAGUAGGUCCACCAUCUGGCUAGGAAAGACUCACAAGUCACAGCCACCACCUGCCCUGUGUCACCACAAAGGCACCUAUGGAGGUUGCUCCAGUAGAAAGGCAAUCAAACACCAAAAUUAAUAGCCCAACUUUCAAAACAGGAUUACAGGAUUUUUUCAAAGAUUCUCCAAUGUUUCUUCCAAGCCCUAUAUUAUGCUAUAAAAUUUCUGGACUUGCUGAGAGGAGGCAAGCUCACAUCCUCCUCACACACAGUGGGCUAGCCUGUCAUCCCAUUUAUUGCCUGUUUGUUGAUGCCUUAGUGAUGUCUUAUAUGAAGAAUGAUUUUUUUUUAAUUACUUUUUCAGUACUUUAAAAAAGAAAAGAAAAUCAAACAAGACACCUUGCAAUUUAUGUUUUCACAUCGUGUUUGCUCUGCAUGUGCGUGAAAUGGGCUUUUCGAUUAUUCCCUGUGGUACUGUAUCUCUAACUAGACUCUCUUCUUCCAGUGUUACCACACAAAGUUCUCGAGCAGUAAAUUAGUCAAAGUAUGUAGAAAUGUAACAAGCUGCCAUGUCCUUUCCCAGGAUGCUGGUUCUUUCCUUAUCAGAUUCCAACACCAUUUAUUGGAAGCUCUGCAUCUCUUUUUGUCUUCCUGAAUUUCAAGAAGUAGAGAAAAAUAUAUCCAGUGUAAGAAUGAUACUUUUACUAUGUCUUUAAAGCCUGUAAGUUUUCCACAUUCUGAGCUCAAGCAAACUUGUCUAGGAAUGCAGAUAAUCACUGAAACAGGAAGGUAAGAACCGAUAUGUGAGAUUUCACAUUGGCAUUGAACUAACUAGGUGAGAGAAAUUAUGGGCUGCUAUAACUUCAAUGUGACCAAAGGAUUUUGGAGAACCUCAUGAAGAAGAUGCCUGAUGAAUUCUAAUUUAAGAGUAAUAUAAAUGGGGGAGAAAAUCUACACCACUAAGAAGAAAACUACUAUCCUGUGGUACGAAAUGACAUAAUAUGCAAAUGGCACCACUGAGUCAACAGGUACAGAAGUGGCUAAAUCUUUGCACAGAAUCUGAUGAAUUUCUUCACUGCAAAAGGAACCUAAGCAAAAAGCCAUGAAAGAUCUUUCCAGGAAGUAGUUUUAAUGGUGCAGGUUAAAAGACAGUAGUAUUGUGUUUUCAAAAAAUUGACUUGUUCCUUGUUCUUUGCAGUCAAGUCACAGUUAUUUUUCCCAUAAAAUAUAAUUUGUGUCAGAAAAAUGGAAGAAUUUUUAAAUAUAUAAUGCUGCACCUAUAUUAAAUGUCUAGGCAUAAAAAGAAGACAGCAAGACAGAAAAUACCAUUUAUUAAAGACACUAACUGUUUAAGAAAAUAUACAAUGGAAUAAUGACCAUAAAGAAUAUCUCUUACAAUAAAUUUUCAAAAUGAAAAC